RNAcentral lists this ribosomal RNA (338 nucleotides) under Platyseius sp. NFS-2015. Its description in RNAcentral is "bacterial SSU rRNA". It matches the Rfam family "Eukaryotic small subunit ribosomal RNA", at positions 601 to 945 of the family's 1831-position model. Lineage: Eukaryota; Metazoa; Arthropoda; Arachnida; Mesostigmata; Ascidae. The record is from RNAcentral.
AUAGAAUUAUUGUUGCGUCUAAAAAGCUCGUAGUUUGAAAACUUGCCUUGGCUCGCAUCUGGCUCUUAAAUGGGCCGCCGCUUGUUGGGUGCAAAUAUCGAUGACUGUUUUUGCCGACUUCACUGUUUGGCUUAUAAGAGUUAUCAAAUAUCACUUUGAUUAAAUUAGAGUGCUUAAAGCAAGUGUGUUACUUGGAUAUAAAUGCAUGGAAUGAUGGAAUAUGUUGUUGUUCUAUUUGUUGGUUUUUGAACGAUAAAAUGAUUGAAAGGAACUGUUGGGGGCAUUCGUAUUGUUGUGAGAGAGGUGAAAUUCUUAGACCACAGCAAGACGAACUACUG